Molecule: ribosomal RNA, 442 nt
Filed under: uncultured bacterium
Lineage: Bacteria
Description: partial 16S ribosomal RNA
Rfam family: Bacterial small subunit ribosomal RNA
Source: RNAcentral
CCUACGGGAGGCAGCAGUGGGGAAUAUUGGGCAAUGGGCGCAAGCCUGACCCAGCAACGCCGCGUGAAGGAAGAAGGCUUUCGGGUUGUAAACUUCUUUUGACAGGGAAGAGUAGAAGACGGUACCUGUCCAAUAAGCCACGGCUAACUACGUGCCAGCAGCCGCGGUAAUACGUAGGUGGCAAGCGUUGUCCGGAUUUACUGGGUGUAAAGGGCGUGUAGGCGGGUUGACAAGUCAGAUGUGAAAUGCUGCGGCUUAACCGCAGAACUGCCUUUGAAACUGUUGGUCUUGAGUGCUGGAGAGGCAGGCGGAAUUCCUAGUGUAGCGGUGAAAUGCGUAGAUAUUAGGAGGAACACCAGUGGCGAAGGCGGUCUGCUGGACAGCAACUGACGGUGAGGCGCGAAAGCGUGGGGAGCAAACAGGAUUAGAUACCCUAGUAGUC